GACGAACGCUGGCGGCGUGCUUAACACAUGCAAGUCGAACGGAAAGGCCUUUUCGGGGUUCCUCGAGUGGGUAACGGGCGGGUAACACGUGGGUGAUCUACCCUGCACUUUGGGAUAAGCCUGGGAAACUGGGUCUAAUAACUGAUAGGAACGCGCUUUAGUGUGUGUGGUUGAAAGUUUUUGCGGUGUAGGAUGAGCUCGCGGCCUAUCAGCUUGUUGGUGGGGUAAUGGCCUACCAAGGCGGCGACGGGUAGCCGGACUGAGAGGUUGGUCGGCCACAUUGGGCCUGAGAGACGGACCAGACGCCAACGGGAGGCAGUAGUGGGGAGUAUUGCACAAUGGGCGCAAGCCUGAUGCAGCGACUCCGCGUGGGGGAUGACGGCCUUCGGGUUGUAAACGAGUGUCGCCAGGGACGAAGCGUUUUGUGACGGUACCUGGAGAAGAAGCACCGGCUAACUACGUG
This 463-nucleotide ribosomal RNA is filed under the name uncultured bacterium. RNAcentral describes it as "partial 16S ribosomal RNA". It matches the Rfam family "Bacterial small subunit ribosomal RNA", at positions 28 to 507 of the family's 1533-position model. The record is from RNAcentral.